AUUGAACGCUGGCGGCAGGCCUAACACAUGCAAGUCGAGCGGAUGAAGGGAGCUUGCUCCUGGAUUCAGCGGCGGACGGGUGAGUAAUGCCUAGGAAUCGGCUUGGUCGUGGGGGAUAACGUCCGGACACGGGCGCUAAUACCGCAUACGUCCUGUGGGAGAAAAUGGCGGUUCUUCGGACCACACGCUUUCAGACGAGCCUAGGUCGGAUUAGCUAGUUGGUGGGGUAAAGGCCUACCAAGGCGACGAUACGUAACUGGUCUGAGAGGAUGAUCAGUCACACUGGAACUGAGACACGGUCCAGACUCCUACGGGAGGAAGCAGUGGGGAAUAUUGGACGAUGGGCGAAAGCCUGAUCCAGCCAUGCCGCGUGUGUGAAGAAGGUCUUCGGAUUGUAAAGCACUUUAGGUUGGGAGGAAGGGCAGUAAGUUAAUACCUUACUGUUUUGACGGUACCAUCAGAAUAAGCACCGGCUAACUUCGUG
This 484-nucleotide ribosomal RNA is filed under the name uncultured bacterium. Its description in RNAcentral is "partial 16S ribosomal RNA". It matches the Rfam family "Bacterial small subunit ribosomal RNA", at positions 30 to 507 of the family's 1533-position model. The record is from RNAcentral.